GUCAUUGUGUGGCCAGGACAGGCUGGCUGAAAUGCUGCUGCAGUGUGAUGGCAUGCAUUCCCCCACAGGAGCAGUGGAGCUCUCCCACCACCAUAUGCAAAAAAAGGAUUAAAAUACAUAAAUAUUUUACACUCCAUUGACUUGGCAGGAGGUGCAUUAGAUUUAAGCAUUCAGUGCUGUUCAGGUUAGAAUCCCCAGCAAAAGUUGCUUUAUUUCUACCAAAAACUAUUAGAUAAUGUAGAAUACAUGAUUAUUGUAAGUUGUAUAUUCAGAAACAUUAUAGUCAAGUAAGGGCUUCAGUAGAAAUAUGUAAGUUUAGCUACACUUUUCAAAACAAGACAGGCAAUGAACUGACCAGUGACAGCGUCGGUCAGUGGCCGUGUUACCAUGUUCUUGUUUCCUCAGCUGGCAAAACUAUUAUUACAGACUUAGUGAAGCAGUGUCACAUGAUAGUCCCCUGCCAGGUAACCUACAUUAUUGCUUCCCCCCUACAGCAGGAGUGGAGCCUCUGGAGCAGCUGAUGGCUGACCUGGAGCUGGAGAAGAUGGUUCAGGAUGCCAGCAAGACAGCUCUUUGACACUUCCAGUAGUGGUAGAAUCCUCCCAUCACCACCCUCACUCCUCUGCCACUGCUGACCACAACACUGAGGCUGUAUUCUUCAGGACCUGAUUGUUGCUUGGACUUGAGGCUUCCCUGCUUGGGACUGGCAGUUCUGCAAAUGCUGUUAGUGACAGCAUCCGUAGGACAACAGUGUAGGUGGUGUCCUCUGGAGGUCCUUCACCUGCAUGGAGCUAAGUCCACCUGUUGUAAUACUUGAAUGCGUAAGUGCUCAUCUUGAAGAUUUUAAUCACUGCAGUGGUCACCAUCUCAGACCUGACUGCCACAGGUACUUACUGUACACACUGCUAUCUAUAAUCCAGUGCUUAGCAGGUUCUUGGUUAUGGUUAUCAACUAUCUGGAUAAAUUUUACACAGCACCAACAUUAAAUUACAACAUGUACACAAUAGCAAACUUUGGAGUUGUUUUAAGCAUUGCUACCAUCAGUCCAACCUAGCUAACCAACCUAACAACCUACCCUAACCUAACUCUUCCUCAACAAUGUAGAACAUAUAUUUAACCUCAACAGUGUAGAACAUGUUUAAAAUAAUUUUUUUUUCUAGAAGUUUGGGUCCCAAAGGGUGAGCAGAAAGAAACAAUUUUUAUCUCCCAUUAUGCAACAAAGUCAUUUAGGGAAUUUGGUCAUAUUACUUAAAGCAGUGUCCAAAACAUUAGUUAACUAAAUUCCAUAUGCAGUUUACAGUUUGGUCAAGAUAAAAUAAUAAGCAAAUAUGCUGCUAGUGGGCAAA
Long non-coding RNA from Scylla paramamosain (green mud crab), 1346 nucleotides. RefSeq lists it as uncharacterized. The record is from RefSeq and is a predicted model, not a curated record. The transcript has 2 exons. NCBI's taxonomy places the organism in Eukaryota, Metazoa, Arthropoda, Malacostraca, Decapoda, Portunidae.